RNAcentral lists this long non-coding RNA (201 nucleotides) under Serinus canaria (Common canary). RNAcentral's name for it is "Rhabdomyosarcoma 2 associated transcript conserved region 6 (ENSSCAG00000007025.1)". It matches the Rfam family "Rhabdomyosarcoma 2 associated transcript conserved region 6". The record is from RNAcentral. Lineage: Eukaryota; Metazoa; Chordata; Aves; Passeriformes; Fringillidae.
GGAUGAUUGAUUGUACCCGCCAGCUGGCUAAUAUCAUAAUUAACAAAGUUGCUACCAUGUCUGAGAAGUUUAAUCGAAAAAAUUGCCGGCAGUGUGAUGCCAUUGUCACAGAGAUCACAAGCACAGCAGUGUUGACUUUUGCACUGGUGGAGCCGCAGGACUAUGUAGAUGUGCUGAAAGUCGUUCGCUGGGAUAACUGAA